RNAcentral lists this ribosomal RNA (439 nucleotides) under bacterium Fw70s-86. RNAcentral describes it as "bacterial SSU rRNA". It matches the Rfam family "Bacterial small subunit ribosomal RNA", at positions 30 to 467 of the family's 1533-position model. The record is from RNAcentral.
AUUGAACGCUGGCGGCAUGCCUUACACAUGCAAGUCGAACGGCAGCACGGGUGCUUGCACCUGGUGGCGAGUGGCGAACGGGUGAGUAAUAUAUCGGAACGUGCCCUAGAGUGGGGGAUAACGUAGCGAAAGUUACGCUAAUACCGCAUACGAUCUACGGAUGAAAGUGGGGGAUCGCAAGACCUCAUGCUCAUGGAGCGGCCGAUAUCUGAUUAGCUAGUUGGUGGGGUAAAAGCCUACCAAGGCGACGAUCAGUAGCUGGUCUGAGAGGACGACCAGCCACACUGGGACUGAGACACGGCCCAGACUCCUACGGGAGGCAGCAGUGGGGAAUUUUGGACAAUGGGGGCAACCCUGAUCCAGCAAUGCCGCGUGUGUGAAGAAGGCCUUCGGGUUGUAAAGCACUUUUGUCAGGAACGAAACGGUGGAGGCUAAUACC